Small nucleolar RNA from Hibiscus syriacus, 190 nucleotides. RefSeq annotates it as small nucleolar RNA snoR143. NCBI's taxonomy places the organism in Eukaryota, Viridiplantae, Streptophyta, Magnoliopsida, Malvales, Malvaceae. The transcript has a single exon. The record is from RefSeq and is a predicted model, not a curated record.
UUGCAUUUUUAAUGAAUAAAGCGAAUUUUCGGUGCUUUGUUUCGUCAACAACGGUGCAGAAAUUAAAGGCUUGAUUUUUCUUUUGAAACUGAAGGGAAAAUUAAGCAGCGGGCCGACAACCGUAGGGAUGGUAUCCACAGAUGAAAGGAUUUUUACUCUCCCUUGUGUCUACUGAUUCCAUCUCACAUUU